UACGGGGGGGGCAAGCGUUGUUCGGAAUUAUUGGGCGUAAAGGGUUCGUAGGCGGUCGACUCAGUCAGACGUGAAAUCCCUCGGCUUAACCGGGGAACUGCGUCUGAUACUGGUUGGCUUGAGUGCAGGAGAGGAAUGCGGAAUUCCAGGUGUAGCGGUGAAAUGCGUAGAUAUCUGGAGGAACACCGGUGGCGAAGGCGGCAUCCUGGACCAACACUGACGCUGAGGAGCGAAAGCCAGGGGAGCAAACGGG
This 253-nucleotide ribosomal RNA is filed under the name uncultured bacterium. Its description in RNAcentral is "partial 16S ribosomal RNA". It matches the Rfam family "Bacterial small subunit ribosomal RNA", at positions 524 to 776 of the family's 1533-position model. The record is from RNAcentral.